UGUCUGACCUGAGACCAGGAUGUCCCUCACAUGGAGAACCUGGUUAUAUUGGCAGACAUCCUUGAGACUUGCCUGACCUGUGUCCAGUUUAUGCAUACCUGACCAUGGCUUUAGCACUGGGAGCCUGGUCUUGUGUUUGUCCUGGCCUUCCUUGGAAAACCCAGUCUAGGGUAUUCCCUCAUUCUUCAGAGGGAAGGUGAAAAUUCAAUGCACCACCAGAAAAAGAAAGAUAGUCAAAGCUUUUUACUCACAGACCGUGGGCAAGGAAGUACAAUGAAAUGAGGGGGCAACACUCCAUCCCUGGGGUGUGCAAGGCAAGAAUGAAAGGUCAGGCAGAGAGAAUAUGGGUCACUUUAAGUUCAUGGGCAAAUGCCUGAAUGGUUUAUUUAAAGGAAGUGGUGAGAAAACAGGGGGCCCAGUCUGCUAGGCAGGAGAGAUGCCUCUAAGUUCUUAUCUCUAGCCACCAGCUUUAGCCAUUGGGUGCGGUGUUCUAUUUCUAAUGCCCAGGCAGCAGCCCUUGCUGUGUUGUUCCAUUCUAGGUUUCCUGAAGAUUUGUAACAAAAGGUGUCGGUGGGAGAAGGUGGAGCAGUUCCCAUUUAAUACCAGAAGUUGUGACAAGACUAUCCCCAAGUGGAAGGGAAGAUGGGAAAGUAAUCUUUCUUCAGCCCUUUAGUGGAAACAGGAAAGAGCCAGUGAGGUAAGAAAUAGAUGUUGGGUAGAUAAUUCCCAGAGUCUGCCAUGGUAUUUUUCCAGGGACAUGGUGGUACAGAAUGCCAUGCUCCCUACAGUUCACUGUGACUCUCUGAGUUCACAUAGCCUAUGAAACUGCCCAGAGAAUGAAGCACUGGCCUCACCAGUAGUGUUUUUAACAGCAGGUUGAGACUUUAACCGUGUGAUUUUGGAAAGGUUUCUUGUUUUUUUAACCUUGGCUUAAGAGAACCAUCUGACCCAGGGAAAUUCAAAGGAAACAUAGUAAAGCUGAUAUAAUUGAAGGGAAGGUGAAGGUAAAAUAACAGGUUACUUUUGAGUUUUGGUUUGCAUGAAACAUAAAAUCUAUUCCCAUGUACCCUUUUUUCUCUGCUAUGCAUUACUUUUCUGGCCUUACUUAAAAAUUUACUUAGAGGAUUGUUUAUAAAUAUGAAAUAACUGGCUUAGAGAAGUCUAGUUUAAUUUAUUAAAUGAGAACUGUGCUGUUUCUAAAUUAAGCCAUUAAUAAACUUAGUCUUCUUAAGUGUUUCAUAAAGUAAAACUGUAAUAGGCUUUCCAAUUAUACAAAGUAAUGAAACAUGAGAACAAAAUGGCAAAUAGAAAAAAAUAAUAAAAUAAAGGAAAAAUGUGGGACACAACUUAAUCUUGAGCC
Molecule: long non-coding RNA, 1360 nt
Filed under: Callithrix jacchus (white-tufted-ear marmoset)
Lineage: Eukaryota; Metazoa; Chordata; Mammalia; Primates; Cebidae
Description: lncRNA (ENSCJAG00000082511.1)
Source: RNAcentral